AUGUUUACAUGGAGGGUGCGGCAUGAAUCAUUGGCACUUCUAACAAAUAUGCAGAAGAGAGGCUUCAAGCUGGAGAGCACGAAAUGCUUGUUUUGUGGCCGUGUUGAUGAAGAUGGAGCGCACCUGUUCAUCAAGUGUAAGGCUGUUAAGAAGGUGUGGCGGGAGCUUGCUCUUGAGGAAGAAAAGAAUGGAGCUGGAAACUAUCUCGUUUGUACAUGCUAUGAUGGAUUAUCUAUGGGGCUGGCUGAGACAAAACGCAUGCAUAUCCUCACUUUCUGGUGGCUCUGGUGGAGCGCACGGAAUAAACUACGGAAGGGGGAGCUUGUUGCGUCGGCGGAUGAGCUAGCAAGACGCACGCGUAGCUACGUAUUGGAUUACAUGCAAGCCUUUCUCCCACCAGCCAAAAAGAUAUGUGCUGAUAAGUGGAGGCCACCACAGGCAGAAAUGGUGAAAAUCAAUGUUGAUGGAGCCUUUGUCCCAGGGGAUGAUCACGCUGGAUGGGGAGCUGUGGUGCGAACCAUGGAUGGCGCGGUGGUGGGAGCCCGGGCUAGAAGACAGGAGCAUGUGCAGGAUGCGUCAUGCUGUGUCAAUGGCAGCAGAGCUGGAAAUAAUAAGGGUGGAGUUCGAAACUGA
RNAcentral lists this ribosomal RNA (633 nucleotides) under Triticum aestivum (bread wheat). Its description in RNAcentral is "partial small subunit ribosomal RNA". Lineage: Eukaryota; Viridiplantae; Streptophyta; Magnoliopsida; Poales; Poaceae. The record is from RNAcentral.